AUCUCAGGUCACACACAUCACAUCUUGUCUAUGGAAUGCCAGCUGUAGGUUUUUAGGCUCCUCUCAGUUUACACAGACAUUUUAUAAAAACAGAAAUGUCUUACUAUUAGUAUAUAAGUGUUAACUAUUAAUGUCAAACAAAUCAGGUAAAUAUGUAAUUUUUCUGUCACACCUCAGAAACAAUACAAUAGCGCAACUCAAAGGACAGCUCAAAGGACAAAAACAAAUGUUGGACAGAUCUAGCACUGUUGCAGAGAAAACGACAGAGGCAACAUAUGAGAUUGCUUGGAUACUCGUGAGAAAGAAGAAGGCAGAUGCGGAGAUGAUCAAAUAAUGUUUUUUGGCCUCAGCCGAAAUAUUGCUUGCCGAUUUCACAAACAAGGAAGCUAUUUUGAAGCAAGUUAAGGGACUGCAACUCUCCGACUCGACCAUAACAAGACGUAUAGAAGACAUUGGUGAGGACAUCGGUAAGCAACUGAUUACUGACAUAUCCGUGGCGCCGUGUUUUAGUAUUGCGCUUUAUGAAAGCACUGAUGUAAGUGACAAUUAUGUGUUUGGAUCCGCUUCCCUCAAAAUGAGUCGUUCAGAGAGGAACUUUUAUGUUUACUGCCCCGUCAGGGACAAACACGAGAAGAGGAUAUUCUGAAAGCCCUCAAAUCUGGCAUCUGUGUGCACUGACGGCGCCCCAAACAUGCGAGGGAAGAAGAAGGGACUCAUAGGCCUGACGAGAAAGAGAAAGGAUAUUCCCGAAUUUGUUACGUUUCAUUGUAUCAUUCAUCAGGAAGCACUUGUGGCUAAGCUCAAAGACUGUGACUUACAGAAUGUGAUGCAGCAAGUCGUGUGUGUGGUGAACAUAAUUAUUGUGAGGGCACUGAAUCACCGGCAAUUCCGUGAGUUGCUGGAGGAAUACCAGACAGAAUACGGCAACUUGAUAUUCCACAAUGAGGUGAGAUGGCUGUCUCGUGGCAGAGUUUUGGAAAGAUUUCUCUCUCUUCCCUCAAAUCCGUGAAUUUGUUCCAAGCAAGGGGAGAGAGAAGCCAGAGCUGGAUGAUCCAAAGUGGAUAUUGUUGGGUUUUAUUUCACUUAUUAGAUGUGAUGCAUUACCUUUUACAGUAGAUGUAGGCCUAAGUAUGAACGGACUGUAAUGCACUAAGAGGUUUAUAUUGUAUUAACAUAGAUUGAGCAACAUAUAAUAGACAUGACUAACUGGAGGGUUGCUGGCUAGUAGGAGUGUAGGCUGAGUAGACUCUUGACACACACACACAAUGCCUGGUUGUGGGGCCGCUCAAGGACAGGUGUACGGGAGGGGCUGGUAGAAUGGAAGAUGGCUGUAGCGCAAAAGCAGAAACUGUCCUAACUGUAGCAUAAAAACAGGCACUGUCCUUGGGUGUCUGACUCUCGGGUACAUACAUGAAGAUAAGCUAGAAGACAACUAUGCUUGGCAACAAAGAUGCGUCUAGAGGCUGGGACCAGCCUGCACGCCAACGAUAGGAUGAGUAAGUUUAAACCACGCUCAUCCUCCCUCUGACAGGCCAGGUGUGAGCGGGAACUAUCUCUGUCAGAGUAUUUAAUGAAGAACUUAUGAUGUCAUUUUCAGUUCUCUGUUUGCCCUGCGAGGUGUUACAGUGAACCCGUAUAUACGAAGAUUGCAUUUACCAUUUAUUCUGCUUGACUAAUUCUAUUAAUAAACAGCUGAAAAUAUAUUCAGUAGCCUAGUGUUAAAUUUUGUUCUGAUACCAGAAUUGAAUUGACGCAGCCCUAACAAUUGGUGACCCCAAAUGUGAUUCUGGUAGAAGGACUUCGCUGGAACUUGUCCGGCCGAUUGGCCAUCGCUCUCGUCGGACGAUGUGUUUCACAAAUCCUGACCGGUCAAACAAAAGGUAAGCAGACACCUAUUGUGAAUAACUAAAGUUCUGCAUAUUGGCAUUAUCCAAAUUUAUUUUGUGAAGCACCUGUUUGAUGUAAGUGAUUAAAUUGUGGAACGUCCACCUGUUAUAUUAAUAAUUUGAUUUUGAAACAAUUUUGAGAGUUGUGGUGUGAUAAAUGCAAUCUUGAAACCGAUCGAUCAUUGAUGAUAUAACAAGUGAAUGUAAUGUACUAGGUAUUGAAGUACCAAGUGUGUAUGUGGUUAGUCGGCGUACUUAACCGGAAUGAGUGUGGGUGGAUGUAGGUAUAACAGCGAUUGUAAUGUACUAGGUAUUGAAGUACCAAGUUUGAGUGUGGCUGUCAAGUCUGGGACUGGUAGCAAGACUGAAUGAAGAUUGGGAGGUCAACCUAAUCGUAUGACUGAAGUACAUUAGAUACUAGUCGGCGUACUGUAUCAAGUGUGAAUUAUCUACGGAUAAAGGCGUUAUACUGAGUAACCAUUGAAUGACUGAAGUACAUUGGGUAUUAAGUCGGCGUACUAAUACCAAGUUUGAGUGACCUGCGGGUAAAUAAGAGGUCGGGGACGGUCGACCUGAGUUAUAUCAUCUAGCGCUGGGGAAAUAAAUAACGUUAGGAACGUACGUUAGAGACGUAAAUUGACAUUGAUAGUUAGGUUACCAUAGACUGAAAUUGAAAGGGAUGUAAAUUAACAUUGAUAGUUAGGUUACCAUAGACUGAAAUUGAAUAUGACCAACCAGGAGACCGAGAGGGUGCUGAAAGCACUGAAGUUAACACUAGAGAUUAAUGGGGGUAGAGACGGGAAAGAGUGGAAAAGGAGGGGGGAAAUUAUACAAGGAAUGGAUAAGAGAAGGUAGUAUUAAUGCACCCAACAGACUCCCAGUCGACGGGGAGCCCGGUAGAAUAUUGGAAACGCUAAAAUGAAAAACAGACAAAACCUGUUCCGAGUGGAAGCAGGAGGGGGAAGCGCGUAAAGGAAUUGCAGGAAUUUACGGGAGUUGAGCGAUACAUGGAGUUAAUUUUAUUUUACUGGGACGAUGCACAUUAAACACAGUUAUGUAUAAUGGCAGGGUAUUCCUAGCAAACAGAAUGGGCCUGUUUGCAGACAAACUGAAGGGGUUUUAAGGUUUUAAGCAAUCUUGGGUCAAAUUAGUCAAAUAGUACGUUAAAAUAUGGGGUUUCAUAGAUUGGAAGUAAAAUAUAUAAUCCAAGGGUAGUGUAUGUUCAAUUAAAGUACACAGAACCAUCGAGGAAGUUUAAAACAAAUGAUUAAUGAUUUGGGGAAGUACAGUGGAGUUAUUAUUAGGUUUUGUUUGUAGUUAACUUUUGGGGUUUUGAAUCGGUGUAGUAGGAUGAAAUGCUGACCAAGUGGUUGUAUUUUCUGGAAAAAGGAGCGUUUCAAAUUCCUAGGGACAGGAUAUCUUAAAGGGGUAUACACACAUAUGGAAUCUUAAAAGUUAUACACCCAUGGAAUCGUUGAGGUUUUGUUUUCUGAGUUUUAAUUAAAUACGUGAAAUUCUUUUGAUAGGGAAUGUUCUGGGAACCUGGGAUACAAAAUGUAGAUAAAGUUCUUUGCUUUCAUUUAUCUAAAGUAGUAAGAAACACGGUUCUGAAAGGGUGGUAUGACUUUUGACCCCUCUGGUGACUUUUCCUUUUGUGGUCUGAUCAGCCGCAAUGAAAAGCCAUUUGGAUGGUGAAUUUAAGGUCAUUUGUGAUACUGACUUUAAGGAAAUUUGUAGAACUGAUAAUUAUGAUGGAGUUAAAGUUCUUAGACGCAGUUGAUAAUUUGAACCAAUGAAAAGACUGAAUGACGAUAAGGGUACAAUAAUUUUUCUUUGUGGAGUAGUUCAGAUUAGUCAUUUUUGAUCUGAUUAUGUUAUUUGAACUCAUAAUGAUUUGUUUAGAUAUGCAGCAAUAUUGAUACAUGGCUUGAGCCAUGUAUAAAUAGGGGGAGUAUGGUAGGGCAGGCGAUAGAACAGGUUAGGAUAAUUACUUAACAACAUUUUUGUAGAAUAUCCUUUCCAACAUUUGGAAAUGGACUUAUUGAACUAUUCCCGAAUUGAGGGGAAGAAGGGGUGUUUAACAAUAACAGAUAAGUAUAGCAAAUGCGUAGAAGCGUUCCCAACUUACUUGGUGGACAUAAUUAUGGUAGCUAGAAUAUUAGGUCAAGAUAUUAUCCCUAGAGUUGGUUUACUGGGAUCUAUCUCUUUAAAUGAUGGAUGACAUUUUAGCUAAUCAGGUAGAGCCUAUAGAAUGCCAGAGUUAGAGAUACCAGAACAGGUAGACAUAGAAGUUGAAGCAAUACUAACAGAACACAUGAGAAGACUGUUUGUUAACCAAGAAUUUGUGUCCAACAGGUGAAUUACAGGAGAAGGUGAUUCACUCAAUCCAACCAAGAGACUGGGUGUGGAUCCAGUCCCUGAGGAGAAAAGACGGGAAGCAGCCCCGUGGGGAAGGCCCAUACCAGGUGCUGUUAAACCAUUGCCUUUGCCAUUAGAAAAGCUGAGAGUCACUUGGGUCCACGUUAUCCACUGCAAGAAGGUAUGUACACAUAUCCACUGCUGAUCACACACAGAGUUAGGAGAAGAACCGAGUACCAACAGGGUCCGGGGGUUACCUCCUUAACGAAGAUUUCCUAUCCCGACCGUUCAUCACUGUGUGUGCUCCUAGAGGUGUGAGUAUGGGGUGGUACCUAGCAGAGAGACUAAGGGCAGGAGAGGGUUGGCGGUUUUUGGGAAGAGUAGGGACUCUGAGCUGCAUCAUAGUCUAAUCUUUCUGAUACAUUCAGAUCCACCACCUUCUGGUACUAAUCAUACGAUACCGUUGUCAUUGAGAAGAAGUAGAAUAUAAAGUAUAUAAUACACUGAUGAGUGACUUACAGAAUAAGGAGUCAAAGAAGAUCAAGAUGUGGGAUUUAAGAUUCAUGAAUGAAACCGGGGAUGCAGUAAAGAGGUUCUCUGACCAAUUAUCCGCCACCUCCCUCAUGACCUGGUAAAAUAGACUGACUCUCGAUAUGUUACUGGCAAAGGAGGAUGGUGUAGGUAGAAUGAUUAGGUUCAUUGCUGUACGUACAUUCCUGAUAACACAGCCCAUGUUUGGGAAAUGGAAAAGUGUUGUAGGAACGGUAUUAUGGGCAGCUUUCACCUGUAUGAGUGUGUUUGGGUUGUUGUUUGGUCCCGUGUGCGAGAGGUCUCAUUUCCACGGUUCUGGAGAGAUCAAUAACGGAGCAGAUGGUGAGUUCAGACCAGUGGGACGACAACUACCUACCGCCGAGCCUGGUGGAGGAUUCAUUCAACUAUGAGGAGCCCAUGAUAAGAUGAGACCAUCUUUAGAGUUUCCUGAAUUAGUUUGAUUUUGUGUGAAAUUUCUGAAUCCAAAAAAAAUAGAUGUGUUAUAAUGUAUGUGAAAUAUUUAGCCAAUCGGGUGGAUAUAAUGAAAGGUUUGACUAAAAGAUUUCACUCAGAAACCUUAUAACCUGUUGAAAUGUAUUCGAAAUACAGCUAUAAUAAUGGGUUAAAAACUAUAUUCCAAUACUGUGUGAGUAAGACACUGUUACCAGAAUGAGCAGGGCAGAGUUGAUAAGACGACCUUGGGAAGGGAACAGGAGAAGAAGCCUCCCUAAGUUAGGGAGAGUAACAACGGCCUGGGAACGGCAGGUGGGCAGGAGAUUAGAAGACAGGUGGCAAGGUUGUUAAGGAAUGUAUGUGUACUGUGGGAAAAAUACAGCCGCCUAAAGCUGGGUUGAGUUCUUUACUGAUGUGUGUGUAACAGAGAUUUGUUAACUAUACUCGCACUGCACUGACAGGUAUGGCUGAGCAACUAGAGGCUACCACUAGAACCACUAGACAAAAUAGAUUGGAGUUGGAUAUGAUAUUGGCUAAUAAUGGGGGGUGUAUAAAACGUUUGGUGAACAAUGCUGUACUUUUAUCCCUAAUAACACUAGCCCUGAUGGUAAGCAUUACCAAAGCCCUACUGGAACUUGAAAAGCUAUCUGCUGAAAUGAAGGGUGUAGCAGGGGUAUACGAGGGGAAUUGGCUGAACAUCUUUUUUGGUAAGUACACAUCUAUGGUGGUUACUGGAUUUCUGACCCUAGUGCUUGUGUUCUUAUUAUUGUUGUGUUGUGUUGCCUGUAUAAUCCCUUGCUUGAGAAAAUAUCUUACAGAAGUUGUCAGAGCAACCGGAAUGAUGUCUUUGAUGGAAGUGACCCCAGUGGAUACUGAAUCAACCUCUAGGCAAAAGACGGGUCUGUCUGAGGACGAUCCUUGGUUUGCUGUUGGGGAAAUGGUUGAAUAAAGCUUAUCCAAAAUGUUCUCAUAUGUAUUGAAUGUAGUGGCAGGUGGAUGUGAAGGUUUUAAGUACUGGGACAAAAAGUCUGUCCCAUACAUGUUAGGUGUAGCCACUGUCGCAAAAAGGUCUUCUUUUUAUACGUUUUUUAAAUAAUAUGUUCUGAAUUUAUCUUGUGUACUAUUUGUCUUUCCUUAUGUGAAGGUUUGAAGUUCCUGGGUGGCUGGUAGUCAACCUAGUACAAGUGAGGUGUAGCCGGAAGGACUUGAGGGUUUUUUAACUAAUCAUCUAAUCAUUAAAAUGGGAAUUAAAAAUUGUGUUGAGUGACACCCUAGGGGGUGUCAAAAGGGGGAAUCUCAAAAUUUCCCUGACAUUUUAAGAACUUAUAUAUUCACACUUAUCAGGUGUGAAAAGGGGGAUUGUUGGGUUUUAUUUCACUUAUUAGAUGUGAUGCAUUACCUUUUACAGUAGAUGUAGGCCUAAGUAUGAACGGACUGUAAUGCACUAAGAGGUUUAUAUUGUAUUAACAUAGAUUGAGCAACAUAUAAUAGACAUGACUAACUGGAGGGUUGCUGGCUAGUAGGAGUGUAGGCUGAGUAGACUCUUGACACACACACACAAUGCCUGGUUGUGGGGCCGCUCAAGGACAGGUGUACGGGAGGGGCUGGUAGAAUGGAAGAUGGCUGUAGCACAAAAGCAGAAACUGUCCUAACUGUAGCAUAAAAACAGGCACUGUCCUUGGGUGUCUGACUCUCGGGUACACACAUGAAGAUAAGCUAGAAGACAACUAUGCUUGGCAACAAAGAUGCGUCUAGAGGCUGGUACCAGCCUGCACGCCAACGAUAGGAUGAGUAAGUUUAAACCACGCUCAUCCUCCCUCUGACAGGCCAGGUGUGAGCGGGAACUAUCUCUGUCAGAGUAUUUAAUGAAGAACUUAUGAUGUCAUUUUCAGUUCUCUGUUUGCCCUGCGAGGUGUUACAGUGAACCCGUAUAUACGAAGAUUGCAUUUACCAUUUAUUCUGCUUGACUAAUUCUAUUAAUAAACAGCUGAAAAUAUAUUCAGUAGCCUAGUGUUAAAUUUUGUUCUGAUACCAGAAUUGAAUUGACGCAGCCCUAACAAUAUUAAAGCUGGCUUUUUAAACUGACAUUACCUGCCACCUGAACACGGUGAAUAUCCAGCUCCAAGGGAAAGCUACAUCUCUGGGCAAAAUGCUGCGUGUGGUCACAACAUUUCAAAAUAAAACCAUCUCACUGUUCAUACCUGACAGACAGUUUGUUCAUUUCCCAAAACUCAGAGCAGUCCCCACAUCCAACCCAGACAUACUGCAACAUUUUAGCUAUGAUGCAUUUGUGCGUGUGUUGGAAGAGUUGGAGUUUGAGUCAAGAUUCAAGGAUAUCAUGGAGUACAAGGAGUUUUUGAGGACCCCUUUCAUGUGCCAGUGUCAUCUCUGACCCCAGUCAUCACAGCCCUCUGUCUUGACCGUGCUGGCAUAGAGAGUGAGAUAGUAGAGCUGCAGGCAAAUUACAUAUUGUAAGGUGAACUAAGAUCAGGUGUUACCCAUUUCUGGUGCCCUGUGUCAGACACAGAGUAUCCACUUCUGAAGCACUGCGUGCAAAAGGUGACAUUUUGUCAGCACUUACUCAUGUGAAGCAACAUGUUCAACAAUUUCAAACAAAAACAGUGAGACAGACUGACUAAUGCACACCUGGAUUGCCUCACAAGGAUACCAACAACAAACUAUACAUUUAGAAUGAAUUCAGUCAAGGAGCAGAAGGGACAUUUUCAAUCAUCCAACUACUGAGGUAACCCUUAAUAUGGGUCUAAUACAUGUGAUGUAGCCUAUUUGAUGUGUGUAUGUAUAUAUUUGUGAUGUGCUGUACCUCAAAUAAAUUACAUGUGUUCUAUUGCUCUGAAUUUGCUCUCAAUUGAUAAUUGCUAAUAUUGGAAGAUAAAUUACAACAAAUUAAAGAUCGGUGCGGCCCUCUGAAUGAUUGUCUCAACCCAACGUGGCCCCCUUACAAAAAAUAGUGAGUAACACGGCUGUAACACAGCAAAAUGUGGAAUAAAUCAAGAGGUAUGAAUACUU
RNAcentral lists this long non-coding RNA (8255 nucleotides) under Salmo salar (Atlantic salmon). RNAcentral's name for it is "lncRNA (ENSSSAG00000117471.1)". The record is from RNAcentral. Lineage: Eukaryota; Metazoa; Chordata; Actinopteri; Salmoniformes; Salmonidae.